UUCGUCUACUUUGCCUCAGAAAGUUUCAUUUCUGGGAAUGUAUCUUAAAAGAAAAAAAAAAAACAAAAUAUAGGGGGGGAAAGCCAACAUAUAAAGAUAUUUAUUGCAGCUCUAUUUAUAGCUAAAAUAAAAUGCAUAUAUAUAUAUAUAUAUAUAAACAAACAUCCAACAAGAAAAUGCCAUGCAGCCAUUUUUUAAAAAAGAAUUCUACAUCAACACUGAAAAAUACGAGAAAAAAGUAGAAGUUAAAUACACAUUUACAAUUUUGUAAAGAAAAUAAAANNNNNNNNNNGUGGGGUGGGGGGAUGGGGUGGGGAAGCCUGUUUUUUUCUUUUUCUCAAAAUUUCCCCUUAUCAUUUCUUUCAAAGCUGCCAGCAAAGUGGUGCCAUCCUAAACCUCCCCCAAAAUCUAAUGUAGGAAAGAAACCUUGAAUAGCCCUCCCUUAAGAGAAGAAACUGUUGGCUGGAUCUGCUUGGCGCUUAGGAUGGAAGUGCAGCAUGACAUGGAGGUCUUAGGGAGGAGAUGUGAUGGGAAAAGCCCAAUUCUUCUGUCUGUUCAGAACAGUCUCUUAGAUGGAAGGACAGGGAACUAGUGACCAUCAGGCAAAGAAUCACGAGGACAAAGGGGAUGUCGUGUGUGGACAGGCUCUUCCAACCACAAGGCACUGUCUACUAGCAAGACAGUGCCAAGGAGGGACGGGUCAGCCAGAAGAACCCAGACUUGGGAGUCUCGGGGAAGCCCAGCAUGAGCCCCAGGGGCUGUUCAGCACCUCUUGAUCAACCAGGGUUUUGCUGUCCUCAGGGCAGCCCUAGUACUGCUGGCCAGGAGUGAAACAGGAUCUCCCUAUGCUGAGCUGAAACAGGCUCACCUCUGCCCACAGGCCCCUCUUCCACCUGCCACAUAGAACGACCCAGAAUCACCCACCCCUGGGGUUCGCCCUGUCACUAUCCGCACUUAUCCCUCAUGUCUCCCUUUUUCAGGCCAAACGCCUGUGUCUCGCAGGGUCCAUUGCCCAGUCCAGACUGUCCGCCACACUGCUGCUCUCUUCUGGAUGCCCCUGUGUUUUGGGAAAAAAAACCCAGAGGGGAACAGUGCCCAUGACCAAAGCCCUGUGACCCCUCUGAUGAUCGUCUUCCCGGCUCAGCCUUGGACAGAAUUUGCUUUUCUAGCAACUACACCUCACUAACUGAUCUUUGACCUUCCAGUCAAUCAAACCACCCUUUUUUUCAUCUGGUUUACAAUCCUUAUCCAAUGUUCAUGCAGGUGGUGUUUUAAAGGGAGGAACUGCAUUGUCUAAACCCAAUGCUAGGACCUCCCGACUGGGUCACUUAAACCUCUCUGGGGAAGGCUGAGAACAGUCAUGUCAGGGGGAAGGAGACGCAAGACAAAAGGACAUUAUUACGGUGCUUUUUCCGUUUUUCUUUUUGCACAAAAACAGUCCAUUUAUUCAAGUGUUCUCCAGCACAAGUACAUUAGAAAGGAGCUUUAUUAUAUUCUUCUGGGCACAAAAAAAAAAAUGUGAUGAAGGCGGAAUUGACAGACUUUCUACAUCUGCUGUACGCACUGACCUCUUUAUAAUUAUUUCAUAACAGCUAUGUCACGAGCAUCACUUACACAGAGAUACAACAGGACAUGGGGGCGUGGUGGUGGGGACCCACGCAGGGCCUUCUCACACCCCCUCCCCGAUGUCCCAGAACCAGACUGUGAAAUGUACAUUAUUAUUGUCAAUAAAUAGAGAAGCAACCCUAAAAAAAAAAAAAAUACAGUGGUGAAAGGAUGCUGGAACCAGGAAGAAAAAAAAACAACAACAACAACAAAGAGUCAGAAGAGGAACUGAAGAAAAAGGAAAGAGGGCCGGGAAGGGAAGGGUCGGGGAGUAAGUCCUGCAUUUAGCUGCGUGGAAUGUGCAGUCAAAGUGUUCUCCCGCC
RNAcentral lists this long non-coding RNA (1928 nucleotides) under Capra hircus (goat). Its description in RNAcentral is "lncRNA (ENSCHIG00010029497.1)". Lineage: Eukaryota; Metazoa; Chordata; Mammalia; Artiodactyla; Bovidae. The record is from RNAcentral.